Molecule: small RNA, 107 nt
Filed under: freshwater sediment metagenome
Description: Rhizobiales sRNA Atu_At1
Rfam family: Rhizobiales sRNA Atu_At1
Source: Rfam by way of RNAcentral
GCGGUCCGUGUAUCAACCGGAUGUGACGGCAGAAGGAACGCUGCGGUUUUUCUGGUUUCCCGCUACGGCCGAAGAAAUGGCAGUCGAGCCUUUUCCCCGUCCACGGA